AUGGGCGAGGAUUUCGAAGAGUAUGCCGAGAAGGCAAAGGCCUUGCCCGAGACCCAGAGCACCAGCAAUGAAGACAAGCUUAUCCUCUAUGGACUCUUCAAGCAUGCCACUGUUGGGGUUGCGAAUACAGCUCGGCCUGGUAUGUGCAACAUGAGGGAGAGGGCCAAAUGGGAUGCAUGGGAAGCUGUUAAAGACAAAUCUAAAGAAGAAGCCAUGAACGACUACAUUACCAAGGUGAAGCAGCUCCAGGAGGAGGCAGCUGCUGCAGGCGCCUGUUAA
This 279-nucleotide ribosomal RNA is filed under the name Triticum aestivum (bread wheat). RNAcentral describes it as "partial small subunit ribosomal RNA". Lineage: Eukaryota; Viridiplantae; Streptophyta; Magnoliopsida; Poales; Poaceae. The record is from RNAcentral.